Zingiber officinale is the source of this 616-nucleotide long non-coding RNA. RefSeq lists it as uncharacterized. The record is from RefSeq and is a predicted model, not a curated record. The transcript has 2 exons. Lineage: Eukaryota; Viridiplantae; Streptophyta; Magnoliopsida; Zingiberales; Zingiberaceae.
UCGCCACCCUACCAUCGCAGAUCCAUCAUAUUCCAGCAUUCAACCGAAACUCAAAUCAGAGGAAAAGGAAAAACAGAUCUGAAGAGCAUCGAACCAAAAACAGAUCGCUAACCUCGGAGUGUUCAUCAUUACAUGAACCAGCUUCUGUGUCGUUGUUUCCAUCCUCGAACUCAUGUUGCAUUAACCAUCAGUCGGCCGCGGGCCGUGCCGUGCCGUGCCAGACAAACGCCGCGCGCUGGAGGUGACAUUGACGGUCGCGGUACUUGAGGAAGCCCAGCGCUGCGCGAGCAGAGCGCACGGACAUGACAACGUGUCGAGCCACGAUAGGUUCCGGCCCGCGUUCGGCGUCGGUUAGCGCGCUGCAGUUGCUCAGGGAGGCGAGCCAGAUCAUGUGGGGCAGCAAAGUCAGUGGGCAACGUGUCGGCAGGGGGCUCCGUCCUGUGAGUUGGCCACGUGCAUUCGUUCAGAGAGGGUGACGCCGUCGCUUCGCGAAUGGCGAGCGGGCGGAUUUUCGGGCCUGGGCCCGCGUUGAGUGGCCCAACAGAAAAGGAGAUCAUGUCUUUUCAAAUAAAUAUUCUAAUUAUAUAUUCCACGUCGGCAAUGACAUGGUUCCAAA